UGGCUAGGCUGGUGUGGCCAUCAUAUCUUCCACACCUAAAAUAUGGGCUUUGUCACUUUGGGAUGCUUUACAACCAAUGCUUUACCUACGGUUCAUGCAUCUACUUUUUUAGUUUGUUUUGACAUCCAAUUUAUCGCAACUAAUAAAAUAAUUUAUUAGUAGAAUUAACCAUUAAGAUUGUACAUAUGGGAUUCUCAUGCAGAACGUGAAAAUAAAUUAAGAAUAUAAAGAAAAGUGGAGCUAAAUGCUGUACUAUUAUUAUUUAGCCGAAGAAGAAGAAGAAGGUAAAUGCUAUUUAGGCCUUGUA
Molecule: long non-coding RNA, 307 nt
Filed under: Panax ginseng (ginseng)
Lineage: Eukaryota; Viridiplantae; Streptophyta; Magnoliopsida; Apiales; Araliaceae
Description: long non-coding RNA (PGIN_LNC012780)
Source: RNAcentral